AAUUCGCCCUUCGGUAAUUCCAGCUCCAAUAGCGUAUCCUAAAGUUGUUGCAGUUAAAAAGCUCGUAGUUGGAUUUCUGCGUGGACGGAGCGGCCGGUCGCAACUUGCGACUCGAGCUAGCGCUUUCCCCGCAUCCUGCCGCGAACCGUGCUACCAUUAGUUUGGUGGCGCUGGGGAUCGGCUCGAUUACUUUGAGAAAAAUAGAGUGUUCAAAGCAGGCCACACGCCUUGAAUAAGUUAGCAUGGAAUAAUGACUAAGGACUUUGGUUCUUUUCGUUGGUGUUCGGGACUGAAGUAAUGAUUGAUAGGGACAGUUGGGGCGGUCCGUAUUCCAAAGCGAGAGGUGAAAUUCUUAGACCUUCGGAAGACGAACAGCUGCGAAAGCGUUCCGCAAGGAUGUUCCCUUUGAUCAAGAACGAAAGUUGGGGGAUCGAAGACGAUCAGAUACCGUCGUAGUCUCAACUAUAAACUAUACCAGCUAGGGAUCGGCCAACGUUUAAUUAUUCGACUUGGUCGGCACCUUAUGAGAAAUCAAAGUAUCUGGGUUCCGGGGGGAGUAUGGUCGCAAGGCUGAAACUUAAAGGAAUUGACGGAAGGGCACCACCAGCCGUGGAGCCUGUGGCUUAAUUUGACUCAACACGGGAAAACUUACCAGGUCCGGACAUAGUAAGGAUUGACAGAUUGAUAGCUCUUUCUUGAUUCUGUGGGUGGUGGUGCAUGGCCGUUUUUAGUCGGUGGAUGUGAUCUGUCUGCUUAAUUGCGUUAACGGACGAGACCCCAGCCUGCUAAAUAGCGCGGCCGAGCUUUGCUCGGUGCGAGCUUCUUAGAGGGACCAUGAUGCGCGAUAGCACAAGGAAGUUUGGGGCAACAACAGGUCUGUGAUGCCCUUAGAUGUUCUGGGCCGCACACGGGCUACACUGGCGCCUGCAACGAGCAUAUCAGCUGGCCCGAGAGGGUCUUGGCUAAUCUUUGGAACCGGCGCCGUGCUUGGGAUUGACCAUUGCAAUUGUUGGUCAUGCAACGAGGAAUGCCUUGUAAACGCGAGUCAUCAGCUCGCAUUGAAUACGUCCCUGCCCUUUGUACACACCGCCCGUCGCUCCUACCGAUGAAUGUUCCGAUGAAAUUUUCGGAGAGCGCCGGAGAACGGGGCUCCGCCCUGCAGAACUGGAGGCUCAAAGACGCUUAAAUCUGAACAUUUCGAGGAAGGAGAAGUCGUAAAAGGGUAACC
This 1228-nucleotide ribosomal RNA is filed under the name uncultured Rhizaria. RNAcentral describes it as "SSU rRNA". It matches the Rfam family "Eukaryotic small subunit ribosomal RNA", at positions 571 to 1804 of the family's 1831-position model. The record is from RNAcentral.